GGCAGGGCUAAAAUUCAAUAAAAAUCUGCGGAAAUUCCACAGGGGAGGCUAAAAAUUUGCUUAAAAUAUGUGGAAAUUCCAGGGGAGGGGGGACCAAAAAAUGGAUGUCCUCAAUAGGGGGGUGCGGAUUAAUAAUGCGAUCAGCCAUUUUGGAACUCAGAUCUAGACCUAGUUCCUUCAAUAUAUAUCCUUCAAUAUGCCAUUUUGUUUAGUCAGUGCUUCCUCAUCCAAAGAUAAAUUUCCCUAAUAUUGCCUCAAAUUUCAAUUUUCCACAAACUUUUUCCUCUAAGUGGAAACACUUACAAGCAUGAUCCAAUAAAAAAGUUUAGGGUUGGGAUUUCGACGUCCAAAAGCUAGGUACUGUAGGGUCAGGAAACCGGAAACCCACAUAUUUUUUUUUUCCUGAAUAAACAUAAAUAUGUGUAGCCGCUGCUUUAGAAGCAUUUGGCAAUAUUUUAUCGGGGAGUUUUGUUGAAAUUUAUGUCUCGCCCAAGUUCACCCGGUGUUAUAGCUGCCUACCUUUGUGUACUUUGUAAAGGGUAAUAUUAGAUGAUGGAUAAUAUAGGCCGGGUUCAGCGAAAUGGUCUGAAAAUCAACCAGAGUGAAGUGAAUGACACAGUAAACAAGUAAGUCCGCCAAUAUUUUGAAUCAGAGACAAAACAGCACAAAAGACACAAAACAGCACACACAUUAUAUGCGUGCACCAAAUAUACAAUAUUUCACAGCAUGGUCUACUUUCCAGACCCCGUUGAAGAUAUAAGAAAUCCAUUAAAUAAAUAAUGCUUAUAAGUAAGCUACUAAUGAGAGAUCCCAGACGCAUGUAGAGGU
Paramuricea clavata is the source of this 828-nucleotide non-coding RNA. NCBI's taxonomy places the organism in Eukaryota, Metazoa, Cnidaria, Anthozoa, Malacalcyonacea, Plexauridae. The record is from the annotation of a GenBank genome assembly.